RNAcentral lists this ribosomal RNA (769 nucleotides) under uncultured sponge symbiont PAWS52f. RNAcentral's name for it is "bacterial SSU rRNA". It matches the Rfam family "Bacterial small subunit ribosomal RNA", at positions 9 to 795 of the family's 1533-position model. The record is from RNAcentral.
GAGUUUGAUCCUGGCUCAGGAUGAACGCUGGCGGCGUGCCUAAUGCAUGCAAGUCGAAUGAGGUCGCUCCUUCGGGGGCCAAACCUAGUGGCAGACGGCUGAGUAACGCGUGGGUGACCUGCCCCCGAGAGCGGGAUAACUGCGAGAAAUUGCAGCUAAUACCGCAUACAUUCCCGUGCUUCAAUGCGCGGGAAGAAAUGACUUAUCGCUCGGGGAUGGGCCCGCGUCCUAUCAGGUAGUUGGUGCGGUAACGGCGCACCAAGCCGGAAACGGGUAUCUGGUGUGAGAGCAUGACCAGACAGAGGGGGACUGAGACACGGCCCCCACUCCUCCGGGAGGCAGCAGCAAGGAAUCGUGCACAAUGGGCGAAAGCCUGAUGCCGCGACGCCGCGUGAGGGAUGACGGCUUUCGAGUUGUAAACCUCUUUUCUCAGGGAAGAGAGAGGACGUCACCUGAGGAAUAAGUCACGGCUAACUACGUGCCAGCAAGCCGGGGUAAUACGUAGGUGGCAAGCGUUUUCCGGAAUUACUGGGCGUAAAGGGUCCGUAGCGGUUUGGUAAGCCCCUUGGGAAAGCUACGGGCUUAACCCGUAAAGGUCGAGGGGGACUGCUAAGCUAGAGGGCGGGAGAGGAGCGCGGAAUUUCCGGUGUAGCGGUGAAAUGCGUAGAUAUCGGGAAGAAGGCCGGUGGCGAAGGCGGCGCUCUGGAACGUCUCUGACGCUGAGGUGCGAAAGCGUGGGGAGCAAACAGGAUUAGAUACCCUGGUAGUC